GCUUUCCGGGGCUCUGUUGGUAGGGCAUUGCACUAACAAUGCAAAAGUUGUGGGUUCAAAAGCCAGGGAAAGCA
Molecule: non-coding RNA, 74 nt
Organism: Danionella cerebrum
Lineage: Eukaryota; Metazoa; Chordata; Actinopteri; Cypriniformes; Danionidae
Source: the annotation of a GenBank genome assembly